This 316-nucleotide long non-coding RNA is filed under the name Elaeis guineensis (African oil palm). RNAcentral describes it as "long non-coding RNA (EGUI_LNC040961)". Lineage: Eukaryota; Viridiplantae; Streptophyta; Magnoliopsida; Arecales; Arecaceae. The record is from RNAcentral.
UCUCUCUCUCUUUCUCUCUUUCUCUCAAUCUGAUUUCUAUGCUCUCUCUUAUGCACCCAUAGGUAGAGAUCUUCUCUAUUUAUAAAUGACUUUCAUGAUCUAAUAAGUAUAGAACUUCUAAUUCAAACACGCUUUGAAUCAGUCUACAACUUAUUAAAGGACUCCUACAUAAGAAAGGAUUGGCACCUACUUUGCACCCACACCCACACCCAUGUGGGACGGCCCACAACUAGCACCAUACCAGGUGCUGGUCGGCCAAGGAGUGAGAGAGUCUCAAUAAAAAUAGCACUUCAAAGAUCUCAUCUAAAAAUGAUUC